Molecule: long non-coding RNA, 721 nt
Organism: Glossina fuscipes
Lineage: Eukaryota; Metazoa; Arthropoda; Insecta; Diptera; Glossinidae
Exons: 3
Source: RefSeq, a predicted model, not a curated record
UAACUGACGAAUGUCCACCUAUAAUAAAAUGAAUUUUGAGGCCGAAAUAAAUUAAUUUUAAAAGUAGCAGGCAAGAACGGAUUUAAAUACAGGAGGGAUUACUCAAAGGCUACAUUGAAAAAGUGUCUAAGAAAUAAGAGCAAAGGCAAAUAUUAUUCAAAACAGCAACUAAGGAUUAACGAACCUCAAGAUUUAGCGGCAGAUAUAUGUGUUUUACAGAUGGGUGAAUACCCUCGCUAUGUGCGAUAGAGAAACGUUGGCUUUUCGUUAAAAAAUAUCCAUCGGCUGAGAUUACACCACCGCCUCCAAAGGCACAAUAAUAGCAAUCAUCUGCAAAUGAAUUGAUCUUGCCUCAGAAGAUGAAACACAUUUCAGAGGGAGGCACUUUGCACCGUAAGAGCAAGUUUUCCUGAUAGAUACUGAUAGAUUAGAACAAAGAUAGCAAAGAUGCGCUUACUUCAUGUCUGGUAAAUUAAGCAAAUUUACUUAAAACUAAAUAAAACACAUCAUUGCAACAAAAGGGGGAUACUUUUCUAAUGAAAUUCAUACGGAAAGAUUUUGCUUUUGCUCAAAGAUUUUAGCUGAACCUGCGAUAUUAGAAUCAAAAUAAUAAAAUCAAUAUUCUGAUGACUAAGUUACAAGUUCUUCGAAGAGUUCACAAACAUCAUAAGGCUUAGCUACGUAUCUUGCUGUUGAUUGCUUCCUACUUCUUUUAACACCA